This 73-nucleotide transfer RNA is filed under the name Marmota monax (woodchuck). RNAcentral describes it as "tRNA.Ala". Lineage: Eukaryota; Metazoa; Chordata; Mammalia; Rodentia; Sciuridae. The record is from RNAcentral.
UGGAGAUGUAGUUCAGUGGUAGAGCAUUUGCCUAGCAUGCACAAGACCCUGACUUUGAUUCACAGAACUUAAA